AAAAACAUAGUUUUUUGAAAAUAUAGAAGAUGAUGUCUGCCCAGUGAAUUAUUAAAUGGCCAUGGUAUUUAUGACUAUGCAAAGGUAGCGUAAUCAUUUGUCUUAUCAAUUAAGUCUGGAAUGAAUGGAAUAAUGGGGCAAUACUUUCUUUAAUUAAAAAUUAAAAAUAAAUUUUUUAGCGAGGAAACUAAAAUGAAUUUAAGGGACGAGAAGACCCUAUUAAGCUUAAUAUGAUUAUUUUGUUGGGGAAACAAAAGAAAAAAAUUUCUUUGAAAAAUAUAUUGAUAAAUAUAGAUUUAACAAUGUUAAUUUUAGAUUUAGUUACUAUAGGGAUAACAGCAUAAUUUUUUUGAAAAGAACUUAUUGAUAAAAUGGAUUAUGACCUCGAUGUUGGAUUAAAAAAAAUUGUAUUAUGCAGAUGUUAUAUAAAUUAGUCUGUUCGACUAUUGAAUUUUUACAUGAUCUGA
Molecule: ribosomal RNA, 467 nt
Filed under: Peripatidae sp. OHL25
Lineage: Eukaryota; Metazoa; Onychophora; Udeonychophora; Euonychophora; Peripatidae
Description: partial large subunit ribosomal RNA
Rfam family: Archaeal large subunit ribosomal RNA
Source: RNAcentral